GGACGCGGAACUGCGGAGGAUCCACAGGGCGCUGUCACGGGCGAUGCCGCGGAGGUGGGGCGCCGCCUGGCGCGCGGGAGCAGAGACCUGGAAGCCUGGGACAGGCCGCACAGGGAGCGGGGGGCUCGGCCCAGGGUGGGAGGGGGUCCCCGGGCCCGGCUUCCCCGCAGCCCCUGGGACCGGGCCUUGGAGGGCGCAGGACGCCCUCGGAGCGGCGGUGCCAAACGGAGCCUCAGCUGCUCUGCAUCCCUCAUAAUUCCCCGGCCGGAGCACUUGGUGGAGAAUGAGGUGCCUAAUGAGAGAACUCAUUCCCCUAUCAAAAAAUACCGUGAGUCAUUUUCAGUAGCGAAAAGUUCUCAGGUAAAACUAUUCGUUUGACAUCCGUAUCCACCUGUGUAGGUAGCUUCUUUACUGAAGGUUCUUAGAGGGAAACUUAGAAGUGGGAGGUGGGUUCUGUGUUCUUGAAUGGGAAGACACAUUUUUUAAAAAAUGUGAACUCUUUCUCUGUUUAUCAGUUUUACAUAAGACAAAUGAAAAUAUCAACGUUUUAACAUUUUUGCAUGACACCUGCUGUCUUUUACUAUUGUGACAACAUUUAAAACAAGUUUAUAAUGGAGUGAAAAAACACUUCCUCCUCUAGAUAACAAAAUUUGCUAUUAAUUUCUACAAUUAAUUGUUUGCUAACAGCUGAAAAGACAGAUAAAUGCAUGGAACAGAAGAGGAAAUGCAGAAACAAUGAAAUUGUGUAAGACAUACAUAAGGAUUGAUAAUGUUAACAGUCAUGAAUAGGAAAGAAUGAAUUGUUAAUGGAAAAAAUGCCUGCUGUUUGAAGAAAACUAGUGAAAGUUUAUGUCACAAACAUGAGUUCCUGAUGGAGUACAGAUUGAAAUUUUUACACAUGCAAAUGAGAAAAGUACCAGAAGAGAACACACAUGCUUAUUUUACAGAACUGCUCUACAUUUGGCCUGUGCUAAUGCCUGUGGGGAAGUGGUCACUCUCCUGCUGAGCAGAAAAUGCCAGACUGACAUUUGUGACAAUCAAAACAGUACACCUUUGAUACAGAAUUUGCAAUCUAUUUCUUGAUCUAAUAUGGGCAGACUGUACAUUGCCAGGAAGAGACUUGUGCCAACACUCUGCUAGAACAUGGCGCCAAUCCAAAUCUUAAGGAUAUCUACGGCAACACUGCUCUCCAUUAUGCUGAGUGUAAUGAGAGUACGUCAUUGGCAGAAAAACUGCUUCCCCAUGAUGCAAAUAUUGAAGCACUGGACAAGUGACCCAUUUGGAGCAGCAGUGCCUGACAUUAGCACCUGGGAUCCCGACACCAUUGACAGAAGUGAAUCAAGCAAGUUUGUACCACACAGAGGAAACCUUCACCUCUAUUGGGAAGCUCUGGCAACAGUAUCUCUGAAACUCUUAAUUCCUCAAUUGUUAAUGUUUGCCACAAAACUAUUGUCAAAUGGGGAUUAGGUAAAGUUCAAGACAUUUCUUGAUUAUUAGACAUGAAAUAGUUUUGUAACUUCUCAAAUGCAGAUGGUCAUGUAGUCUUUGUCUUGGGGUACUUCUGGUAAAGCAAAUAUUCUUUAAAAUACAGUUUAAGAAACACUG
Molecule: long non-coding RNA, 1605 nt
Organism: Cercocebus atys (sooty mangabey)
Lineage: Eukaryota; Metazoa; Chordata; Mammalia; Primates; Cercopithecidae
Exons: 5
Source: RefSeq, a predicted model, not a curated record